This 478-nucleotide ribosomal RNA is filed under the name uncultured bacterium. Its description in RNAcentral is "partial 16S ribosomal RNA". It matches the Rfam family "Bacterial small subunit ribosomal RNA", at positions 28 to 523 of the family's 1533-position model. The record is from RNAcentral.
GACGAACGCUGGCGGCGUGCUUAACACAUGCAAGUCGAACGGUAAGGCCCUUCGGGGUACACGAGUGGCGAACGGGUGAGUAACACGUGGGUGCUCUGCCCUGCACUUCGGGAUAAGCCUGGGAAACUGGGUCUAAUACCGGAUAGGACCACUGCCUGCCUGGGGGGUGGUGGAAAGCUUUUGCGGUGUGGGAUGGGCCCGCGGCCUAUCAGCUUGUUGGUGGGGUGAUGGCCUACCAAGGCGACGACGGGUAGCCGGCCUGAGAGGGUGACCGGCCACACUGGGACUGAGAUACGGCCCAGACUCCUACGGGAGGCAGCAGUGGGGAAUAUUGCACAAUGGGCGCAAGCCUGAUGCAGCGACGCCGCGUGAGGGAUGACGGCCUUCGGGUUGUAAACCUCUUCCAGCACCGACGAAGCGCAAGUGACGGUAGGUGCAGAAGAAGGACCGGCCAACUACGUGCCAGCCGCCGCCGUAA